CACAGAACUUUGCCACGUGUUUGCAGCAGGGAGGAGCCUGGCCCCUCCUGGGUGGAAGCCGGAAUUCAAUCUGUGAGAUUGAAGGUGUGUGGCAACCCUAUGUCAAGCAAGAAUAUCAGUACUACCUUUCCAACAGCACGUGCUCACUGUUCAGCAUGGCUAGGGAGGCCUCAGGAAACUUACAAUCACCUUGGAAGGUACCUCUUAACAGGGCGGCAGGAGAGAGAAUGAGAACCCAGCAAAGGGAGAAGCCCCUUAUAAGACCAUCAGAUCUCAUGAGAACUCACUCACUAUCAUGAGAACGGUAUGAGGGAACUGCUCCCAGGAUUCAAUAAUCUCCACCUGGCCCCUCCCUUGACACGCAGGGAUUAUGGGAACUACAAUUCAAGAUGAGAUUUGGAUGGGGACACCGCCAAACCAUAUCACAAGUGUAGCUAAGGAGGUGGAGAAAAGGGAACCCUGUACAAUGCUGGUGGGAAUGCAAAUUGGUGCAGCCAAUAUAGAAAACAGGAAGUUUCUCAAAAAAUUAAAAAUAGAACUAAGAGAUGGUUCAGCAAUCCCCCUUCUGGGAAUGUAUCCAAAAUAAAUAAAAUCAAUGUCUGGAAGAGAUAGCUGCAGUCCCAUGUUUGCUGCAGCAUUAUUUACAGUAGCAAAAACAUUUAAACAACUUAAAUGUCUGUGGACAAAUGAAUGAAUAAAGAAAAUGUGGUAUAUAAAGACAAUGAAAUGUUAUUCAGCCUAAAGAAAGAAAUCCUGCAUCUGGGACAAGUAUGAACCUGCAGGGUAUUAUGCUAAGUUAGAUAAGCCAGACACAGAAGGACAAAUAUUGCCA
Molecule: long non-coding RNA, 832 nt
Filed under: Homo sapiens (human)
Lineage: Eukaryota; Metazoa; Chordata; Mammalia; Primates; Hominidae
Description: HSALNT0129673
Source: RNAcentral